This 345-nucleotide unclassified non-coding RNA is filed under the name soil metagenome. RNAcentral describes it as "partial contains 5.8S ribosomal RNA, internal transcribed spacer 2, and large subunit ribosomal RNA". The stretch from base 1 to 120 matches the Rfam family "5.8S ribosomal RNA", at positions 35 to 154 of the family's 154-position model. The record is from RNAcentral.
GAUGAAGAACGCAGCGAAAUGCGAUACGUAAUGUGAAUUGCAGAAUUCAGUGAAUCAUCGAGUCUUUGAACGCACAUUGCGCCCCCUGGUAUUCCGGGGGGCAUGCCUGUCCGAGCGUCAUUGCUGCCCUCAAGCACGGCUUGUGUGUUGGGCCUCCGUCCUCCUCCCGGGGGACGGGCCCGAAAGGCAGCGGCGGCACCGCGUCCGGUCCUCGAGCGUAUUGGGCUUCGUCACCCGCUCUUGUAGGCCCGGCCGGCGCUUGCCGACACAUCAAUCUUUUUUCCAGGUUGACCUCGGAUCAGGUAGGGAUACCCGCUGAACUUAAGCAUAUCAAUAAGCGGAGGA